UACUGCUAUCGGGGUCCGACUAGCCAUGCGAGUUGAGAGGGGUAAGCCCUCGGCAUAUUGCUCAGUAACACGCGGAUAACCUGCCCUUGGGUUCGGGAUAACCCCUGGAAACUGGGACUAAUACCGGAUAGAUCAAAGAAACUGGAAUGUUCUCUGGUUAAAAACUCCGGUGCCCAAGGAUGGGUCUGCGGCCUAUCAGGUAGUAGUGGGUGUAACGUACCUACUAGCCUACGACGGGUAAGGGUUGUGAGAGCAAGAGCCCUGAGAUGGAUUCUGAGACAUGAAUCCAGGCCCUACGGGGUGCAGCAGGCGCGAAAACUUUACACUGCGGGAAACCGCGAUAAGGGGACCCCGAGUGCCAGCACCUAGUGCUGGCUGUCCAGCUGUCCAAAUAACAGUUGUUAGCAAGGGCCGGGCAAGACCGGUGCCAGCCGCCGCGGUAACACCGGCGGCCCGAGUGGUAGCCGUUAUUAUUGGGUUUAAAGGGUCCGUAGCCGGCCUAUUAAGUCUCUUGGGAAAUCUGGCGACUCAAUCGUCAGGCGUCCAAGAGAUACUGGUAGGCUUGGGACCGGGAGAGGUGGGAGGUACCCCAGGGGUAGGGGUGAAAUCUCGUAAUCCUUGGGGGACCACCGAUGGCGAAGGCAUCCCACCAGAACGGGUCCGACGGUGAGGGACGAAAGCUGGGGGCACGAACCGGAUUAGAUACCCGGGUAGUCCCAGCCGUAAACGAUGCUCGCUAGGUGUCAGGUGCGGUGCGACCGCAUCUGGUGCCGCAGUGAAAACUUGAAGCGAGUCACCUGGGAAGUACGGUCGCAAGGCUGAAACUUAAAGGAAUUGGCGGGGGAGCACUACAACGGGUGGAGCCUGCGGUUCAAUUGGAUUCAACGCCCGGA
This 893-nucleotide ribosomal RNA is filed under the name uncultured ANME-2 cluster archaeon. Its description in RNAcentral is "bacterial SSU rRNA". It matches the Rfam family "Archaeal small subunit ribosomal RNA", at positions 25 to 923 of the family's 1478-position model. Lineage: Archaea; Methanobacteriati; Methanobacteriota; Methanomicrobia; Methanosarcinales. The record is from RNAcentral.